Molecule: ribosomal RNA, 460 nt
Filed under: uncultured bacterium
Lineage: Bacteria
Description: bacterial SSU rRNA
Rfam family: Bacterial small subunit ribosomal RNA
Source: RNAcentral
GCAAGUACGAACGAAGCACUUAUUGAAGCCUUCGGGCAGAUUAUUUGUGACUAGUGGCGGACGGGUGAGUAACGCGUGGGUAACCUGCCUCAUACACCGGGAUAACAGUGAGAAGUUGCUGCUAAUACCGGAUAAGCAUACAGCAUCGCAUGAUGCAGUGUGAAAAACUCAGGUGGUAUGAGAUGGACCCGCGUCUGAUUAGCUAGUUGGCGAGGUAACGGCUCACCAAGGCGACGAUCAGUAGCCGACUUGAGAGAGUGAAUCGGCCACAUUGGGACUGAGACACGGCCCAAACUCCUACGGGAGGCAGCAGUGGGGAAUAUUGCACAAUGGGGGAAACCCUGAUGCCAGCGACGCCGCGUGAAGGAUGAAGUAUUUCGGUAUGUAAACUUCUAUCAGCAAGGAAGAAAAUGACGGUACUUGACUAAGAAGCCCCGGCUAAAUACGUGCCAGCAGCGGC